RNAcentral lists this ribosomal RNA (215 nucleotides) under uncultured bacterium. RNAcentral's name for it is "partial 16S ribosomal RNA". It matches the Rfam family "Bacterial small subunit ribosomal RNA", at positions 524 to 730 of the family's 1533-position model. The record is from RNAcentral.
UACGUAGGGUGCGAGCGUUAAUCGGAAUUACUGGGCGUAAAGCGUGCGCAGGCGGCGACAUAAGACAGAUGUGAAAUCCCCGGCGUCAACCUACGGACGUAGCGUUUGUUGACUGUGUUGUCUAGAGUGUAGCAGAGGGGGGUGGGAAUUACCACCGUGUAGCAGUGAAAUAGCGUAGAGAUGUGGAGGAACACCGAUGGCGAAGGCAGCCCCCU